GACGAACGCUGGCGGCGUGCUUAACACAUGCAAGUCGAACGGAAAGGCCCUGCUUUUGUGGGGUGCCCGAGUGGCGAACGGGUGAGCAACACGUGAGUAACCUGCCCUUGACUUUGGGAUAACUUCAGGAAACUGGGGCUAAUACCGGAUAGGAGCUCCUGCUGCAUGGUGGGGGUUGGAAAGUUUCGGCGGUUGGGGAUGGACUCGCGGCUUAUCAGCUUGUUGGUGGGGUAGUGGCUUACCAAGGCUUUGACGGGUAGCCGGCCUGAGAGGGUGACCGGCCACAGUGGGACUGGGGUACGGCCCAGACUCCUACGGGGGGCAGCGGUGGGGAAUAUUGCACAAUGGGCGGAGGCCUGAUGCAGCAACGCCGCGUGGGGGAUGACGGCCUUCGGGUUGUAAACCGCUUUGGCCUGUGACGAGGCGUGAGUGACGGUAAUGGGUAAAGAAGCACCGGCUAACUACGU
RNAcentral lists this ribosomal RNA (467 nucleotides) under uncultured bacterium. RNAcentral's name for it is "partial 16S ribosomal RNA". It matches the Rfam family "Bacterial small subunit ribosomal RNA", at positions 28 to 506 of the family's 1533-position model. The record is from RNAcentral.